CCUACGGGUGGCUGCAGUGAGGAAUAUUGGUCAAUGGGCGGAAGCCUGAACCAGCCAAGUCGCGUGAGGGAGUAAGGCCCUACGGGUCGUAAACCUCUUUUGCCGGGGAGCAGUGCCCAGCUCGUGAGCUGGGAGGGAGCGUACCCGGAGAAAAAGCAUCGGCUAACUCCGUGCCAGCAGCCGCGGUAAUACGGAGGAUGCGAGCGUUAUCCGGAUUUAUUGGGUUUAAAGGGGGCGUAGGCGGGCCUUCAGCCCGGCGGUAAAAUUGCGUGGGUAAACCCCGCAGAGCCGUCGGAACCGGGGGCCUUGAGUACCGGAGAGGUACGCGGAAUGCGUGGUGUAGCGGUGAAAUGCAUAGAUAUCACGCAGAACCCCGAUUGCGAAGGCAGCGUACCGGCCGGUCACUGACGCUGAGGCACGAAAGCGCGGGUAUCGAACAGGAUUAGAUACCCUAGUAGUC
This 460-nucleotide ribosomal RNA is filed under the name uncultured bacterium. RNAcentral describes it as "partial 16S ribosomal RNA". It matches the Rfam family "Bacterial small subunit ribosomal RNA", at positions 338 to 795 of the family's 1533-position model. The record is from RNAcentral.